Molecule: non-coding RNA, 2813 nt
Organism: Podarcis lilfordi (Lilford's wall lizard)
Lineage: Eukaryota; Metazoa; Chordata; Lepidosauria; Squamata; Lacertidae
Source: the annotation of a GenBank genome assembly
AAGGGGCUCCGGAGCGUGGAGGGGGGUUGCGGCGCUGAGAGCUGCUUCACAGUCUGCGGAGUGAAGCCGCGCUGCUGCUGCCGGUGAGCGCUGAUCCUUUUUCCUGUUAAAAUACGGAUUCGGACGAAAAGCAACUUACUCGUGAGUAAAGACUGAAUCACUUGAAAUUAGAGACUUUAAAUGAAAAACCUUAAAUUGGCUUGAACUUGGCUGAAAGCGGAGAGACGUGGAAACAGGAAGUCCGUCUUCCGCAGCCAUUGAACUUGAAAAAGCAACUAAGUUGGAGGAGUGGAGGCUGAAAGAAAGAGAUUUUAAACUUUACAGAUCUAAGCAUCUAUUGAACUUGCAAUUUAAAGUAAAGACUUUAAGCUAAAGAUUCGGAAUUUUAACUUGCACUUGACUUUCCUCCUUUUAUUGGAUUACAAAUUAGAAGGUGAAACCCAGAGUCAGGAGCUGCCUGAGCAUUGAGAGAUUGAGCUGUCAGUAUUGCAGAUUUGGAUACUGUAUAUUGGAACUUGCAACAAUCUGAGGGUAUUGAGACUUUUUAAAUUUGAAACAUUCUUUUUGGAGAUAAAUAAGCACUGUCUGUAACAAAGUGACUACUUAUAAACUCUGCUAAAUAUUUAUAUCUGAAGGUUCUUGGACAUUAAAUUAGACUCUGAAAGACAUUUUAAGCUCCCUCUAGAGGAUUGGAUUAAAACAGUGACUUUACAUCUACAUUUACUUUCGAUUCCCUUGUUGUUUGCUUGCUCUGGGCCUUUCUAUUCCCAUGGGAAAAACUCAGUGUGACCUUGACUGAUAGACAACGUUGGAAUGAGUGGCACAAGGAAAAGAGGGAGAGUUAGACAAACAACUUUAACAACUCUAACCUCAGCCUCGCAGACACGUAGAUCAUCUGUACCUACUUUGCCCUCAGAAGUAGAACUUGAAGAAGUUGCCUUGCCACAGGCAAAAGAGGGAGAGGGUGAAGCAGAGCAGUUACAAUUGGAAGAUAUGGCCUCAGGAGCAUCUGUUUCUGUUCUAGACAAAAUCUUUGAAAAAUUGGAAGCUUUGGACAAGAAAGUAGAUGCGCAAUCAGCAAAGAUUGACAAAAAUACAGAAUGUCUAAAUAAAUUAACCAUACAAGUGGUACAGAAUACACAAGCAAUUGGACAGUUAACGGAGGCCUCAGCAGAAAAUCGGAAAUUGGCUGAGGAUACUAGACAAAAAUUGGAAAAUUUAGAGCAAGAGGUAAGACCACUCACUAAACAAGUUGGGGAACAUCAGACUUAUCUUUCCAUGAUAGAACUGCGAAAUCGUGAGAAUAAUUUGAGGAUUAGAUCAUUACAAGAGGCAGAAGAAGGAAAUUUAACUGAGUUUUUGACUAAAGAAUUUUCCAAGUUCUGGAAUUUGGAAGAAAAGGAUUUUAAAAUUGUGUCGGCUUUCAGACUUGGAAGAUUCACAAAGAAGGAGAGGCCCAGAGACUGUUUGAUUACAUUGAGAUCAAAGGAGGAAAGGGAUAAGAUUUUGGGCCUACAUUACGGAAAGUCACUGGAGGUUUUGGACAGAAGAAUUGAAAUUUAUAAAGAUAUUCCAAGACAACUGCUGGAUCUUAGAGCCGCCUAUUCUGAACUUGCUAAACUACUAAGGAGCAACGCAAUUCCAUUCAGGUGGGAAUUUCCCCAAGGAAUAUCUUUUACCUUUAAAGGGAGAAAGGUCAAAGUUAGAACAUUGGAAGAGAGAGACAAAUUUUUGGCUACAUACGGAGAGGACCUUCAAAAAGGAAUUGAAUUACCUUCUGGGCCUGGGGCAAAGCCAGCAUUAACACCAGCACCUGGGGAACCUGAAGAUCCAGAGAAGAUACCACCCCUGGAGAAAUAACCAGAUAGAUCCAGGAUGUCUCUGCAAUUGCUGAGUUGGAACAUUAAUGGUUGUAACAUUCCGGAAAAAAGGAAGAAAAUAUUUCAUAUAUUAAAACAGCACAAUUGGACAUUAUCUGUUUACAAGAAACACAUGUGACGAGGCUCCACAGAAAAGUGUUAAUAAAUAAAAGAUUGGGCCAGGAAUUUGUUUCGUCGGACAAAGUUAAGAAGAGAGGCGUGGUGAUAUAUGCAAAAGAGAGCCUGUCACCUAAAUUCUUAUUUAAAGAUGAACAUGGAAGAAUUUUGGCCAUUGAGAUACAAUAUCAAGGAGAGAAACUGUUGAUAUUAGGAAUCUAUGCACCUAAUGAAGGGAAAUCGGAAUUUUACAAGAAGCUGCAGGGGACAAUGCUGGACUAUCUGGAUUACAACAACAUCAUAAUGAUGGGAGAUAUGAACGGGGUCGUGUCAACUAACAUGGACAAGUCACAAAGUCAAAAUGUUACAAAAGACGGCAGACUACCUAAAACCUUUUUGAAAUGACUGACAAUAUGGAUUUGAUUGACAUUUGGAGGACAAAGAACCCACUAGGUAGAGAAGGAACAUUCUUUUCUGAAGCCCAACUGACCUGGACAAGAAUCGACCAAAUAUGGAUUUCUAGAGGCCUGGCACCUAAGGUCAGAAAAGUGGAAAUCUGCCCAAAGACCUGCUCUGACCAUAAUGCAGUAAAGAUGGAUAUGACACUACUACCAACUGGAUCCUUUAGAUGGAAGAUGAAUGACAAUUUGUUUAGAGAUCAGGAAAUUACCAAGAAGGCCCAAAAAGUUUUGAAGGACUAUUUUGAGAUAAACAUGAACAAUUCGGUGGAAAAAAGAAUCGUCUGGGACGCAAGCAAAGCUGUAAUGAGGGGAUUCUUGAUACAACAGAAUGUAGUAAAGAAAAGAACACAAAAUGAGAAAAAAGAUAAGAUCUUGG